GUUUUUACUACUUGCUUUGGCAGAACAUUCACUAAAAUUGGAAUGAUACAGAAAAAGAUAAGCAUGGCCCCUGCUCACAGAUGACAUGAAAAUUCAUGAAGCAUUCCAUAUUUAG
Small nuclear RNA from Cricetulus griseus (Chinese hamster), 115 nucleotides. The record is from Ensembl. Lineage: Eukaryota; Metazoa; Chordata; Mammalia; Rodentia; Cricetidae.